RNAcentral lists this long non-coding RNA (218 nucleotides) under Elaeis guineensis (African oil palm). RNAcentral describes it as "long non-coding RNA (EGUI_LNC034727)". The record is from RNAcentral. Lineage: Eukaryota; Viridiplantae; Streptophyta; Magnoliopsida; Arecales; Arecaceae.
GUUAAAUGUAUUUUAGGCUCCUCAUGGACCUCAAACCAACACUUGUUUUGAAGUAGAAGAAAUAAUAGAGGAAGCUACCCCUAGAGCUAUUUCUCAGGAUCCAAUACAUACACUUUGGGAUUCUUUUAGAGUGGAUGAUUUUGAUCUAGAUGGAUAUAUUGAAAAUGUGAAUAUAUUAUUAGAGCCAUCUGAUUUUAGCACCACUUCCCUAUAGGCUG